This 72-nucleotide transfer RNA is filed under the name Bos taurus (domestic cattle). It matches the Rfam family "tRNA". Rfam says of the family: Transfer RNA (tRNA) molecules are approximately 80 nucleotides in length. Their secondary structure includes four short double-helical elements and three loops (D, anti-codon, and T loops). The record is from Rfam by way of RNAcentral. RNAcentral also lists the same sequence under 2 other names. Lineage: Eukaryota; Metazoa; Chordata; Mammalia; Artiodactyla; Bovidae.
UCCCUGGUGGUCCAAUGGUUAAGACUCUACUCUCCCAAUUAGGGGGCCUGGGUUCAAUCCCUGGCUGGGGAA